This 253-nucleotide ribosomal RNA is filed under the name uncultured bacterium. RNAcentral's name for it is "partial 16S ribosomal RNA". It matches the Rfam family "Bacterial small subunit ribosomal RNA", at positions 524 to 776 of the family's 1533-position model. The record is from RNAcentral.
UACAGAGGGUGCAAGCGUUAAUCGGAAUUACUGGGCGUAAAGUGCGCGUAGGCGGCUGCUUAAGUCGGAUGUGGAAUCCCCGGGCUCAACCUGGGAACUGCAUUCGAUACUGAGCAGCUAGAGUAUGAGAGAGGGAGGUAGAAUUCCACGUGUAGCGGUGAAAUGCGUAGAUAUGUGGAGGAAUACCGGUGGCGAAGGCGGCCUCCUGGCUUAAUACUGACGCUGAGGUGCGAAAGCGUGGGGAGCAAACAGG